GAUACAAGGUAUCAUGUGUAUCGAUAUAGAAUAAAGUUCUGAGUAGAAGAUUGAUGAUGACAAAUUUCUACUCAUCAGUCUUGACUAAUUCUUGUGCCAGCAGUCGCGGUAACACAAGUAAGACAAGUGUUAUUCAUCAUUAUUAGGUUUAAAGCGUACCUAGACGGCAUUUUACACAGAUAAUGUUAAUUUUUUGCUAGAGUUUAACAGGGGAGGAUGAUAUUAGGACUAUUGGUGUAGAGAUGAAAUUCUUUGAUACUAAUAGAAUGUGUAACGGCGAAGGUAACCCUCUAUCUAUAAACUGACGUUGAGGAACGAAGGCUUGGGUAGCGAAUAGGAUUAGAUACCCUAGUAGUCCAAGCAGAAAAUUAUGAGUGCCAUAUGCUACAGAGUGAGUGUAUAAAUGAAAGUGUAAGCAUUCCACCUCAUGAGUAAAGGGGCAACCCCGGAAUUGAAAUCAUUAGACCGUUUCUGAAACCAGUAGUGAAGUAUGUUAUUUAAUUCGAUAAUCCUCGAAAAAUCUUACCACAAUUUGAAUAGUAUUUAUUAGGAUAUUACAGGCGUUGCACGGCUGUCUAAAGCUAAUGUCGUGAGAUUGUGGUUAGAUUCAUAAAAUUAGCGUGAU
Molecule: ribosomal RNA, 625 nt
Filed under: Tripospermum myrti
Lineage: Eukaryota; Fungi; Ascomycota; Dothideomycetes; Mycosphaerellales; Neodevriesiaceae
Description: SSU rRNA
Rfam family: Bacterial small subunit ribosomal RNA
Source: RNAcentral